Molecule: long non-coding RNA, 971 nt
Filed under: Marmota monax (woodchuck)
Lineage: Eukaryota; Metazoa; Chordata; Mammalia; Rodentia; Sciuridae
Source: RNAcentral
GGGACUGGAUAGUUAUUCACUUGUAAGAGACAGAGAGGACUUCGCAGACUGCAUGCCUGGCCACCUCUGCCCAUCACCCUUCAGCUCCUCUCCAAGGGGAGGGUACCCAUGGGCUCCUCUGGAGUGUUGGACACCCCCUGGGCCAUGCGCCCUAGCGGGAGGGAUCAGUGUGCAACAAAGUCCACAGCUCCUGCUCGGCCUCAUCUAAAGUCCUGCCUGAGUUCUCGAAUGUUCCCUCACAUAAUGGUCAUUGGCUUGGUCCUGGAUGGAGUUGGAUUUUGAUUCAUGGAAGCUCGUUUUAGAAUAGAGCUUAAACUAAGUGCUCUGAUCUAAUUCUUUUCUUUUCUUUUUUCUUUUUGCAGGAGAGUUCUACAUUGGUGAUUAUUAGGUUCAACUACUAGUAAAGAAGGGUUUCAUUCUGAGAUAAACGCUACCCCUUUGAUAUGGCUCCCUAAGGAACUUGGGGAUGGGGGGAUGGGAAAGGAAUGUGUAAAGAGAUGGUCCAUCAGGGACAGGAUCCAGGUGUUCCUGCACCCCUGGUCUCCACAGCAUCAAAAAGAUGGACAAAGUUCCAACCCACGCUAAUUCCUACUUAACGUUAAACAAAUCUUUUGAAAAUCUCCAUCUUUGUCCAUGGGUGGGGCAGCCUGCUCUGAUGUUCUAAGAUCCUGAAAAUCCCCUAUCUCAGUUGGAACCAACAUUGGGUCCACAAUUCCCAUCCUCUCCAUAGCUCAUGGUUUCCUCUCCCGAGAUGUGACUACCAGGGGUGGCUCCAUGGGGACAGCCCACUGGGGGGACUUCAGCCUCUACCAUCUCCCAAUUUCCAUCAGCUCACCCAUUCUUUAAUACGGGCACUGGACACAAUCAUCUCCAAGUCCUCCCUCCUACCAGAGUCCCAUCUCCAACUUCCUCCUGGGUGAAAACUCUGGAACUCCCUCUGCUGAGUAGCAUGAACACUUCCUAAAAUAGCU